AAAUUAUUAUGCAAAUUGGAAUUAAAUGUCAUAAACAUUAAAUAUUUAGUUUUCCAAUCAAACUCAUCGAUGGUAUUGGGCUCUUUGGAUCGCUGAAAUCUAUCUCAGACACCAGUGAUCAUUAGUUUGCCAGGUGAGCCCAAUUAAAAACACACUACUUAAGAAGGAUGUUCCACAUUAUUAAGCAGGCCACAGGUUUCAAGCAAUAUGGGAAAGAAAAAGGAUCUCUCUGUUGCAGAAAAGCAUUAAAUAGUGCAAUGAAAAUGCUGGCCAACAACCUGGGCAAGGAAUUCUACUACUCUGGUCCAAAGACAUUGUGAACCCCUUCUGGUGGUGCUGUAAGCAAGCUGAAACCUAUAAACAGUUUCUGAACAUCCAUACAACAGGUACAGACGACUGUACAAGAAGUCAAGGAGCUGGUGUGUGUAUGCUGUGAAGGAGAAGACCUACAGCUACAUCCCUGACCUACAGCGAAAAGUCUACCUGAUUUCCGAGCCUUCAACUGCCAAUCAACACCAACUGUAGAGAUUCCUAGCCUUGCUGCUGACAUCUUUCCAAACAUUACCUGAUUGUGAAUAGAAUUUGGAAGAUACAGACCAUAGAAAACAACCUAGCAAUGUCUCAACAUUGCCUCUGUACUUGUGCCUUGUAAAUAAAAUAAAGCCUUUAUUUUCAAACACUAGUGCAGCAUAUAUAAAGUUACCUAGAAAAAAAAAGUAUAUAACAUUUUAAUCUCAGGUGACCUGAAAUCCCUUAAAGGCGAAUGGGGAAGUAUAGAGGAGAAGGAGAAGAAAUGGUAUUUAAAGGAGGCAGAACAGCUAAAAAAACAGAUGGACCGAUGUUUGAGGAGGUUAGGAUCAAAAAGGUGG
Esox lucius (northern pike) is the source of this 869-nucleotide long non-coding RNA. The record is from Ensembl. NCBI's taxonomy places the organism in Eukaryota, Metazoa, Chordata, Actinopteri, Esociformes, Esocidae.